This 554-nucleotide ribosomal RNA is filed under the name Barathronus multidens. RNAcentral's name for it is "partial 16S ribosomal RNA". It matches the Rfam family "Bacterial large subunit ribosomal RNA", at positions 1849 to 2606 of the family's 2925-position model. Lineage: Eukaryota; Metazoa; Chordata; Actinopteri; Ophidiiformes; Aphyonidae. The record is from RNAcentral.
GAGGUCCCGCCUGCCCUGUGACAGUAUGUUUAACGGCCGCGGUAUUUUGACCGUGCGAAGGUAGCGCAAUCACUUGUCUCUUAAAUGGAGACCUGUAUGAAUGGCACGACGAGGGCUUAACUGUCUCCUUUUCCCAGUCAAUGAAAUUGAUCUUCCCGUGCAGAAGCGGGAAUUAUAACAUAAGACGAGAAGACCCUAUGGAGCUUUAGAUACAAGACAGAUCAUGUUAAACCCCUAACAAAGGAAUAAACUAAGUGACCCCUGUCCUAGUGUCUUUGGUUGGGGCGACCGCGGGGCAACAUAAAACCCCCAUGUGGACUGGGAGCACCCCUCCCAGAACCAAGAGCCACAGCUCUAGGUACCAGAACAUCUGACCAUCAAGAUCCGGCAAAGCCGAUCAACGAACCGAGUUACCCUAGGGAUAACAGCGCAAUCCCCUUCUAGAGCCCAUAUCGACAAGGGGGUUUACGACCUCGAUGUUGGAUCAGGACAUCCUAAUGGUGCAACCGCUAUUAAGGGUUCGUUUGUUCAACGAUUAAAGUCCUACGUGAUCU